RNAcentral lists this unclassified non-coding RNA (373 nucleotides) under soil metagenome. RNAcentral's name for it is "partial contains 5.8S ribosomal RNA, internal transcribed spacer 2, and large subunit ribosomal RNA". The stretch from base 1 to 120 matches the Rfam family "5.8S ribosomal RNA", at positions 35 to 154 of the family's 154-position model. The record is from RNAcentral.
GAUGAAGAACGCAGCGAAAUGCGAUAAGUAAUGUGAAUUGCAGAAUUCCGUGAAUCAUCGAAUCUUUGAACGCACAUUGCGCCCUUUGGUAUUCCGAAGGGCAUGCCUGUUCGAGCGUCAUUAUCACCCCUCAAGCCCCCCGGCUUGGUGUUGGACGGUUUGGCGGAGGCCCUCCGGGGCCCUUGCCCCUCCCAAAGACAAUGACGGCUGCCUCGUUGGACCCCCGGUACACUGAGUUCUUUACGGGACACGUACUGGAGUAAGGGUGCACGGGGCACGGUCUGCCUCCCCUCAGGGAGAAUCUUUUUUUACAAGGUUGACCUCGGAUCAGGUAGGGAUACCCGCUGAACUUAAGCAUAUCAAUAACGGAGGA